UUGGCCUUUUGGCUAAGAUCAAGUGUAGUAUCU
Molecule: small nuclear RNA, 33 nt
Filed under: Cervus elaphus hippelaphus
Lineage: Eukaryota; Metazoa; Chordata; Mammalia; Artiodactyla; Cervidae
Source: RNAcentral